UGGGCCAGACCGCCGCAGAAAUGUGGUUUCCCCUUUGGGGCUGGUUCUGAAAGUUGGACCUGGCUCAGGAUGAACGCUGGCGGCGUGCUUAACACAUGCAAGUCGAACGAUGAAGGGAGCUUGCUCCUGGAUUAGUGGCGAACGGGUGAGUAACACGUGAGUAACCUGCCCUUAACUCUGGGAUAAGCCUGGGAAACUGGGUCUAAUACCGGAUAUGACUCCUCAUCGCAUGGUGGGGGGUGGAAAGCUUUUUGUGGUUUUGGAUGGACUCGCGGCCUAUCAGCUUGUUGGUGAGGUAAUGGCUCACCAAGGCGACGACGGGUAGCCGGCCUGAGAGGGUGACCGGCCACACUGGGACUGAGACACGGCCCAGACUCCUACGGGAGGCAGCAGUGGGGAAUAUUGCACAAUGGGCGAAAGCCUGAUGCAGCGACGCCGCGUGAGGGAUGACGGCCUUCGGGUUGUAAACCUCUUUCAGUAGGGAAGAAGCG
Molecule: ribosomal RNA, 491 nt
Filed under: Arthrobacter sp. IGS64
Lineage: Bacteria; Bacillati; Actinomycetota; Actinomycetes; Micrococcales; Micrococcaceae
Description: bacterial SSU rRNA
Rfam family: Bacterial small subunit ribosomal RNA
Source: RNAcentral